AUCAAUGAACAAAUGCCCUGAAGGUUCAAGAUCCUUGCUGAUCUUGAAAAGUAAGCAGGGUCAGCCCUGGUUAGUAUUGGGAUGGGAGGCCACUAAUGAAUACCAGGUCUUGUGGUAU
Molecule: ribosomal RNA, 118 nt
Filed under: Anolis carolinensis (green anole)
Lineage: Eukaryota; Metazoa; Chordata; Lepidosauria; Squamata; Anolidae
Source: RNAcentral